Molecule: ribosomal RNA, 253 nt
Filed under: uncultured bacterium
Lineage: Bacteria
Description: partial 16S ribosomal RNA
Rfam family: Bacterial small subunit ribosomal RNA
Source: RNAcentral
UACGGAGGGUGCGAGCGUUGUCCGGAAUCACUGGGCGUAAAGGGCGCGUAGGCGGCCUGAUAAGUAGGGGGUGAAAUCCUGCGGCUUAACCGCAGGGCUGCCCUCUAAACUGUCAGGCUAGAGCACAGUAGAGGCAGGUGGAAUUCCCGGUGUAGCGGUGGAAUGCGUAGAGAUCGGGAAGAACAUCAGUGGCGAAGGCGGCCUGCUGGGCUGUUGCUGACGCUGAGGCGCGACAGCGUGGGGAGCAAACAGG